RNAcentral lists this ribosomal RNA (682 nucleotides) under uncultured endomycorrhiza of Neottia nidus-avis. RNAcentral describes it as "eukaryotic LSU rRNA". It matches the Rfam family "Eukaryotic large subunit ribosomal RNA", at positions 1 to 665 of the family's 3401-position model. The record is from RNAcentral. Lineage: Eukaryota; Fungi; Basidiomycota; Agaricomycetes; Sebacinales; Sebacinaceae.
CUUGACCUCAAAUCGAGUAGGACUACCCGCUGAACUUAAGCAUAUCAAUAAGCGGAGGAAAAGAAACUAACAAGGAUUCCCCUAGUAACGGCGAGUGAAGAGGGAAGAGCUCAAAUUUUGAAUCUGGCACCUUUGGUGUCCGAAUUGUAAUCUAGAGAAGUGUUUUCCGUGGCGGACCGUGCAUAAGUCUCCUGGAAUGGAGCGUCAUAGAGGGUGAGAAUCCCGUAUAUGGCAUGGACUCCCGUUGCUCUGUGAUACACUCUCGACGAGUCGAGUUGUUUGGGAAUGCAGCUCUAAAUGGGUGGUAAAUGCCAUCUAAAGCUAAAUAUUGGCGAGAGACCGAUAGCGAACAAGUACCGUGAGGGAAAGAUGAAAAGCACUUUGGAAAGAGAGUGAAACAGUACGUGAAAUUGUUGAAAGGGAAACGCUUGAAGUCAGUCGCGCCGUUCGGGAUUCAGCCUUGCUUCUGCUCGGUUUACUUCCCGUUGGGUGGGUCAACAUCAGUUUCGGUCGGAGGAGAAAGACUUGGGGAAGGUAGCAGCAUUCGUGCUGUGUUAUAGCUCCCUUGUUGUAUACUUCGAUUGGGACUGAGGAUCGCAGCACGCCUUUGGCCGGGGUUCGCCCACGUACGUGCUUAGGAUGUUGGCAUAAUGGCUUUAAGCGACCCGUCUUGAAACACGGA